Molecule: ribosomal RNA, 445 nt
Filed under: uncultured bacterium
Lineage: Bacteria
Description: bacterial SSU rRNA
Rfam family: Bacterial small subunit ribosomal RNA
Source: RNAcentral
UCCAGACUCCUACGGGAGGCAGCAGUGGGGAAUAUUGCACAAUGGGGGAAACCCUGAUGCAGCAACGCCGCGUGAGCGAUGAAGUAUUUCGGUAUGUAAACUUCUAUCAGCAGGGAAGAAAAUGACGGUACCUGACUAAGAAGCCCCGGCUAACUACGUGCCAGCAGCCGCGGUAAUACGUAGGGGGCAAGCGUUAUCCGGAUUUACUGGGUGUAAAGGGAGCGUAGGCGGCAGCGCAAGUCUGGAGUGAAAUGCCGGGGCCCAACCCCGGAACUGCUUUGGAAACUGUGCAGCUCGAGUGCAGGAGAGGUAAGCGGAAUUCCUAGUGUAGCGGUGAAAUGCGUAGAUAUUAGGAGGAGCACCAGUGGCGAAGGCGGCUUACUGGACUGUAACUGACGUUGAGGCUCGAAAGCGUGGGGAGCAAACAGGAUUAGAUACCCGGGUA